This 403-nucleotide ribosomal RNA is filed under the name uncultured bacterium. RNAcentral describes it as "partial 16S ribosomal RNA". It matches the Rfam family "Bacterial small subunit ribosomal RNA", at positions 28 to 526 of the family's 1533-position model. The record is from RNAcentral.
GACGAACGCUGGCGGCGUGCCUAAUACAUGCAAGUCGAACGCAGUGGGGACGGGUGAGUAACACGUGGGUAACCUCCCAUCAGAGGGGAUAACACUUGGAAACAGGUGCUAAACCGAUACUGAUGGAUGGACCCGCGGUGCAUUAGCUAGUUGGUGAGGUAACGGCUCACCAAGGCCACGAUGCAUAGCCGACCUGAGAGGGUGAUUGGCCACACUGGAACGGAGAAACGGCCCAGACUCCUACGGGAGGCAGCAGUGGGGAAUCUUGGGCAAUGGGCGAAAGUCUGACCGAGCAACGCCGCGUGAGUGAAGAAGGGUUUCGGAUCGUAAAGCUCUGUUGUUAGGGAAGCGUUAUCUAACCAGAAAGCCACGGCUAACUACGUGCCAGCAGCCGCGGUAAUUC